Molecule: ribosomal RNA, 292 nt
Filed under: uncultured bacterium
Lineage: Bacteria
Description: partial 16S ribosomal RNA
Rfam family: Bacterial small subunit ribosomal RNA
Source: RNAcentral
GUGGAUUAGAUACCCUGGUAGUCCUGGCAGUAAACGGUGCACGUUUGGUGUGGGGGGAUUCGACCCCUUCCGCGCCGGAGCUAACGCGUUAAACGUGCCGCCUGGGGAGUACGGUCGCAAGAUUAAAACUCAAAGAAAUUGACGGGGGCCCGCACAAGCGGUGGAGUAUGUGGCUUAAUUCGAUGCAACGCGAAGAACCUUACCAGGCCUUGACAUGCAUUUCUAAGUUGGUGAAAGCCAGCGAGUGUCGAAAGACACAACUUGCACAGGUGCUGCACGGCCGUCGUCAGCU